This 253-nucleotide ribosomal RNA is filed under the name uncultured bacterium. RNAcentral describes it as "partial 16S ribosomal RNA". It matches the Rfam family "Bacterial small subunit ribosomal RNA", at positions 524 to 776 of the family's 1533-position model. RNAcentral also lists the same sequence under 1 other name. The record is from RNAcentral.
UACAGAGGGUGCGAGCGUUAAUCGGAGUUACUGGGCGUAAAGGGCGCGUAGGCGGUUGUGUGAGUGUGAUGUGAAAGCCCUGGGCUUAACCUGGGAAGUGCAUCGCAAACGACAUAACUGGAGUAUAAGAGAGGGUGGCGGAAUUUCCGGUGUAGCGGUGAAAUGCGUAGAGAUCGGAAGGAACGUCAAUGGCGAAGGCAGCCACCUGGCUUAAUACUGACGCUGAGGCGCGAAAGCGUGGGUAGCGAACAGG